AUGCCAGGCUACUGUAAAACAACUCAAUACUUCCUAAAACCAGAGUUGCAAUUGCCGUGGUUUAAACUAGUGUUUCUACAGCCUGAAAAGCUCAAAAACGAUGUUUUAGUGUUUCUGCAUUGGUUUCCAUCAGAGCAGCCUCUAAUGGUCAUGUUCUCAUGCCAGGCUACUGUAAAAAAGCUCAAUACAUCCUAAAUGUACAGUUGCAAUUGCCGUGAUUUCAACUAGUUUUUCUACAGCCUGAAAAGCUCAAAAAACGAGGUUUUAGUGUUUCUGCAUUGGUUUCCAUCAGAGCAGCGUCUAAUGGUCAUGUUCUGAUGCCAGAAUACUGUAAAACAGCUCAAUACAUCCUAAAUGUACAAUUGCAAUUGCCAUGGUUUUGUGGUAAAUUCUGUUCCUCCUAUGGAGUUAUCUCUGUCCAUUGCAACAAAUGUCAAGACCGUGGUGUCAGGUUGGCCACUAAAACAAAUAAACUGCUGCAGCUGAGUAAACAUGGACUUUCGAUGGACACGCAGGCACUCGCUGGUUGCAUAAACAACACAGCUUUAAAAAGUGGGCAUUGGGAGAUGUUUCUUAGAGUGCUUCGCAAAGGGGCUGCUGCAGACACCCAGCUGGCCUUUUUCGACCUCUCAGUUCUUUCUGCAGAAGAACAAGCGGGUGAAUUCGGCUACCACCUCUCUCAUGAUUAUUCUGUGAUUGUACUAUUUCAUUCUAUGUAAUAAAUUCAUGUGUUAAUUUGAGCAUAAAAGUUGAGUCUGUGUGAACUCUCUAACAAUGUUGGAACAUCAAAAUACACGACAGUUUAAACUAGUGUUUUUACAGCCUGAAAAGCUCAAAAACGAUGUUUUAGUGUUUCUGCAUUGGUUUCCAUCAGAGUAGCCUCUAAUGGUCAUGUUCUGAUGCCAGAAUACUGUCCAAUAGCUCAAUACAUCCUAAAUGUACAGUUGCAUAUGCGGUGGUUGGAACUAGUGUUCUUAUGACCUGAAAAGCUCAAAAACAAUGUUUUAGUGUUUCUGCAUUGUUUUUUUAACAUUACAGUUCAUAAUGGUCAUGUUCUCAUGCCAGGAUACUGUAAAACAGCUCAAUACAUGCUAAAAGCAGAGUUGCAAUUGCUAUGGUUUAAACUAGUGUUUCUGCAGCCUGACAGGCUCAAAAAUGAUGUUUUAGUGUUUCUGCAUUAGUUUGCAUCAGAGCAGCCUCUAAUGGUCAUGCUUGAUGCCAGAAUACUGUCAAACAGCUCAAUACAUCCUAAAUGUACAGUUGCAUAUGUGGUGGUUUGAAAUAGUGUUCUUAUGACCUGAAAAGCUCAAAAACGAUGUUUUAGUGUUUCUGCAUUGUUUUUUUAACAUUACAGUUCAUAAUGGUCAUGUUCUCAUGCCAGGCUACUUUCAAACAGCUCAAUACAUCCUAAAAGCAGAGUUGCAAUUGUCGUGGUUUAAACUAGUGUUUCUACAGCCUGAAAAGCUCAAAAACGAUGUUUUAGUGUUUCUGCAUUGGUUUCCAUCAGAGCAGCCUCUAAUGGUCAUGUUCUGAUGCCAGAAUACUGUCAAACAGCUCAAUACAUCCUAAAUGUACAAUUGCAUAUGCGGUGGUUUGAACUAGUGUUCUUAUGACCUGAAAAGCUCCCAAACGAUGUUGUAGUGUUUCUUCAUUGGUUGUUGAACAUUACAGUUUAUAAUGGUCAUGUUCUCAUGCCAGGCUACUGUAAAAAAGCUCAAU
Molecule: long non-coding RNA, 1719 nt
Organism: Betta splendens (Siamese fighting fish)
Lineage: Eukaryota; Metazoa; Chordata; Actinopteri; Anabantiformes; Osphronemidae
Source: Ensembl